RNAcentral lists this ribosomal RNA (465 nucleotides) under Vreelandella stevensii. RNAcentral's name for it is "partial 16S ribosomal RNA". It matches the Rfam family "Bacterial small subunit ribosomal RNA", at positions 338 to 795 of the family's 1533-position model. The record is from RNAcentral. Lineage: Bacteria; Pseudomonadati; Pseudomonadota; Gammaproteobacteria; Oceanospirillales; Halomonadaceae.
CCUACGGGUGGCAGCAGUGGGGAAUAUUGGACAAUGGGCGAAAGCCUGAUCCAGCCAUGCCGCGUGUGUGAAGAAGGCCUUCGGGUUGUAAAGCACUUUCAGUGGGGAAGAAAGCCUUGGGGCUAAUACCCUCGAGGAAGGACAUCACCCACAGAAGAAGCACCGGCUAACUCCGUGCCAGCAGCCGCGGUAAUACGGAGGGUGCGAGCGUUAAUCGGAAUUACUGGGCGUAAAGCGCGCGUAGGCGGUCUGAUAAGCCGGUUGUGAAAGCCCCGGGCUCAACCUGGGAACGGCAUCCGGAACUGUCAGGCUAGAGUGCAGGAGAGGAAGGUAGAAUUCCCGGUGUAGCGGUGAAAUGCGUAGAGAUCGGGAGGAAUACCAGUGGCGAAGGCAGCCUUCUGGACUGACACUGACGCUGAGGUGCGAAAGCGUGGGUAGCAAACAGGAUUAGAUACCCUUGUAGUC